UACGGAAGGCAGCAGUGGGGAAUAUUGCACAAUGGGCGAAAGCCUGAUGCAGCUAUGCCGCGUGUAUGAAGAAGGCCUUAGGGUUGUAAAGUACUUUCAUCGGGGAGGAAAAACAAAACUAAUAAUUUUAUUUCUUGACGUUACCCGAAAAAGAAGCACCGGCUAACUCCGUGCCAGCAGCCGCGGUAAUACGGAGGGUGCUAGCGUUAAUCAGAAUUACUGGGCGUAAAGAGCACGUAGGUGGUUUUUUAAGUCAGAUGUGAAUCCCUGGGCUUAACCUAGGAACUGCAUUUUGAAACUGAAAUACUAGAGUAUCGUAGAGGGAGGUAGAAUUCUAGGUGUAGCGGUGAAAUGCGUAGAUAUCUGGAGGAAUACCUGUGGCGAAAGCGGCCUCCUAAACGAAUACUGACACUGAGGUGCGAAAGCGUGGGGAGC
This 435-nucleotide ribosomal RNA is filed under the name uncultured bacterium. RNAcentral's name for it is "bacterial SSU rRNA". It matches the Rfam family "Bacterial small subunit ribosomal RNA", at positions 340 to 769 of the family's 1533-position model. The record is from RNAcentral.